Molecule: ribosomal RNA, 788 nt
Filed under: Solicoccozyma aeria
Lineage: Eukaryota; Fungi; Basidiomycota; Tremellomycetes; Filobasidiales; Piskurozymaceae
Description: eukaryotic LSU rRNA
Rfam family: Eukaryotic large subunit ribosomal RNA (bases 157-788)
Source: RNAcentral
ACCUUAAAUGUAUUAGCUGGAUCUGUCUUUGAGACUUGGUUUGACUUGGCGUAAUAAGUAUUUCGCUAAGGACAUUCUUCGGAGUGGCCUCGUUUCUAGGACGCUUGUCCGCUUUCCAAUACAAGUUCCACCUCGUGGACAUGACUUUUUAUUAUCUGGCCUCAAAUCAGGUAGGACUACCCGCUGAACUUAAGCAUAUCAAUAAGCGGAGGAAAAGAAACUAACAAGGAUUCCCCUAGUAACGGCGAGUGAAGCGGGAAAAGCUCAAAUUUGAAAUCUGGCAGCCUCAGGUUGCCCGAGUUGUAAUCUAUAGAAACGUUUUCCGCGCCGGCCCAUGUACAAGUCCCUUGGAACAGGGCGUCAUAGAGGGUGAGAAUCCCGUCCUUGACACGGACCACCGGUGCUUUGUGAUACGUUUUCAACGAGUCGAGUUGUUUGGGAAUGCAGCUCAAAAUGGGUGGUAAAUUCCAUCUAAAGCUAAAUAUUGGCGAGAGACCGAUAGCGAACAAGUACCGUGAGGGAAAGAUGAAAAGCACUUUGGAAAGAGAGUUAAACAGUAUGUGAAAUUGUUGAAAGGGAAACGAUUGAAGUCAGUCGUGUCUAUUGGACUCAGCCGGUUCUGCCGGUGUACUUCCUUUAGAUGGGGUCAACAUCAGUUUUGAUCGCUGGAAAAGGGCGGGAGGAAUGUAGCACUCUCGGGUGAACUUAUAGCCUUCCGUCGUAUACAGUGGUUGGGACUGAGGAACGCAGCAUGCCUUUAUGGCCGGGGUUCGCCCACGUACAUGCUA